AGGUCGUAACAAGGUUUGACCGUCUUGGGUGAGAGCCAGCGGCAAUCGAGAGAUCGUGGCAUAACCAAGCCUGCUCGGACGACUGGAGAAACCCUUCUGGACGGCCACCACGGCCGGCUGCUGCGGCUUGUGGGCGUUCGUGCCCCGCUACCAGUCGAAACGACGAACCUGCGCAACCAUUGCGUGUUGAGCCCGUGGGCGUCGUAAACCGAAAUACUUGAACAACUGUUAACAAUGGAUAUCUUGCUUCUC
This 252-nucleotide unclassified non-coding RNA is filed under the name fungal sp. RNAcentral describes it as "partial internal transcribed spacer region". Lineage: Eukaryota; Fungi. The record is from RNAcentral.